This 691-nucleotide ribosomal RNA is filed under the name uncultured Serratia sp. RNAcentral describes it as "bacterial SSU rRNA". It matches the Rfam family "Bacterial small subunit ribosomal RNA", at positions 788 to 1479 of the family's 1533-position model. The record is from RNAcentral. Lineage: Bacteria; Pseudomonadati; Pseudomonadota; Gammaproteobacteria; Enterobacterales; Yersiniaceae.
UGGUAGUCCACGCUGUAAACGAUGUCGAUUUGGAGGUUGUGCCCUUGAGGCGUGGCUUCCGGAGCUAACGCGUUAAAUCGACCGCCUGGGGAGUACGGCCGCAAGGUUAAAACUCAAAUGAAUUGACGGGGGCCCGCACAAGCGGUGGAGCAUGUGGUUUAAUUCGAUGCAACGCGAAGAACCUUACCUACUCUUGACAUCCAGAGAACUUAGCAGAGAUGCUUUGGUGCCUUCGGGAACUCUGAGACAGGUGCUGCAUGGCUGUCGUCAGCUCGUGUUGUGAAAUGUUGGGUUAAGUCCCGCAACGAGCGCAACCCUUAUCCUUUGUUGCCAGCGGUUCGGCCGGGAACUCAAAGGAGACUGCCAGUGAUAAACUGGAGGAAGGUGGGGAUGACGUCAAGUCAUCAUGGCCCUUACGAGUAGGGCUACACACGUGCUACAAUGGCAUAUACAAAGAGAAGCGACCUCGCGAGAGCAAGCGGACCUCAUAAAGUAUGUCGUAGUCCGGAUUGGAGUCUGCAACUCGACUCCAUGAAGUCGGAAUCGCUAGUAAUCGUAGAUCAGAAUGCUACGGUGAAUACGUUCCCGGGCCUUGUACACACCGCCCGUCACACCAUGGGAGUGGGUUGCAAAAGAAGUAGGUAGCUUAACCUUCGGGAGGGCGCUUACCACUUUGUGAUUCAUGACUGGG